Long non-coding RNA from Temnothorax curvispinosus, 295 nucleotides. RefSeq lists it as uncharacterized. Lineage: Eukaryota; Metazoa; Arthropoda; Insecta; Hymenoptera; Formicidae. The record is from RefSeq and is a predicted model, not a curated record. The transcript has 3 exons.
AUACUGUUAGACGUGACAAGUUAUAAAAGUAAAAUCCAUAGUAAAGACAGGUGUACCAACAUAUGUACAAUUUUUAAAAUAUGCUCAAGAACAGCAGCACAUACAUGAAAAGGUACAAAAUGUCACAGAUAUAAUUACAGAAAAAGAAAAUACACAACAAAGAGACUCAAAAAACGAUACUUGUGAAUUAGAUAUGAUAACAGAACAAGAAACAAACACAAGGGAUAAAACAUGUACCAAACAAAAUGUAUCAAUAUUAAUGGAUUUAUUAGAAAAAGAAAAGAAAGAAAAGGAA